Molecule: ribosomal RNA, 301 nt
Filed under: uncultured bacterium
Lineage: Bacteria
Description: partial 16S ribosomal RNA
Rfam family: Bacterial small subunit ribosomal RNA
Source: RNAcentral
CAGCCGCCACGGGAAAACGGAGGGAGCUAGCGUUAUUCGGAAUUACUGGGCGUAAAGCGCACGUAGGCGGCUUUGUAAGUUAGAGGUGAAAGCCUGGAGCUCAACUCCAGAAUUGCCUUUAAGACUGCAUCGCUUGAAUCCAGGAGAGGUGAGUGGAAUUCCUAGUGUAGAGGUGAAAUUCGUAGAUAUUCGGAAGAACGCCAGUGGCGAAGGCGGCUUACUGGCUCAUACUGGACGCUGAGGUGCGAAAGCGUGGGGAGCAAACAGGAUUAGAUACCCGCGUAGUCCCUGUCUCUUAUAC